This 493-nucleotide ribosomal RNA is filed under the name uncultured Actinomycetes bacterium. RNAcentral describes it as "bacterial SSU rRNA". It matches the Rfam family "Bacterial small subunit ribosomal RNA", at positions 1 to 514 of the family's 1533-position model. Lineage: Bacteria; Bacillati; Actinomycetota; Actinomycetes. The record is from RNAcentral.
GCCCUUAGAGUUUGAUCCUGGCUCAGGACGAACGCUGGCGGCGUGCUUAACACAUGCAAGUCGAGCGGAAAGGCCCUUCGGGGUACUCGAGCGGCGAACGGGUGAGUAACACGUGAGCAACCUGCCCCAGGCUUUGGGAUAACCCCGGGAAACCGGGGCUAAUACCGAAUAUGACCUCCGAUCGCAUGGUCGGUGGUGGAAAGUUUUUCGGCUUGGGAUGGGCUCGCGGCCUAUCAGCUUGUUGGUGGGGUGAUGGCCUACCAAGGCGACGACGGGUAGCCGGCCUGAGAGGGCGACCGGCCACACUGGGACUGAGACACGGCCCAGACUCCUACGGGAGGCAGCAGUGGGGAAUAUUGCACAAUGGGCGGAAGCCUGAUGCAGCGACGCCGCGUGAGGGAUGACGGCCUUCGGGUUGUAAACCUCUUUCAGCAGGGACGAAGCGUAAGUGACGGUACCUGCAGAAGAAGCGCCGGCCAACUACGUGCCACAG